Molecule: ribosomal RNA, 305 nt
Filed under: uncultured bacterium
Lineage: Bacteria
Description: bacterial SSU rRNA
Rfam family: Bacterial small subunit ribosomal RNA
Source: RNAcentral
UUGCCUACGGGACGCAGCAGUGAGGAAUAUUGGUCAAUGGGCGGAAGCCUGAACCAGCCAAGUCGCGUGAGGGAAUAAGGCCCUACGGGUCGUAAACCUCUUUUGCCGGGGAGCAAGGGCGGGGACGUGUCCCGGCCCGGAGAGUACCCGGGGAAAAAGCAUCGGCUAACUCCGUGCCAGCAGCCGCGGUAAUACGGAGGAUGCGAGCGUUAUCCGGAUUUAUUGGGUUUAAAGGGUGCGUAGGCGGGCUUUUAUGUCAGCGGUAAAAAUUCGGGGCUCAACCCUGUCCGGCCGUUGAAACUGGG